RNAcentral lists this ribosomal RNA (253 nucleotides) under uncultured bacterium. RNAcentral describes it as "partial 16S ribosomal RNA". It matches the Rfam family "Bacterial small subunit ribosomal RNA", at positions 524 to 776 of the family's 1533-position model. The record is from RNAcentral.
UACGUAGGGUCCGAGCGUUGUCCGGAAUUACUGGGCGUAAAGAGCUCGUAGGUGGUUUGUCGCGUUGUUCGUGAAAACUCACAGCUCAACUGUGGGCGUGCGGGCGAUACGGGCAGACUUGAGUACUGGAGAGGAGACUGGAAUUUACGGUGUAGCAGUGAAAUGCGUAGAUAUCGUAAGGAAGACCAGUGGCGAAGGCGAGUCUCUGGACAGUUACUGACGCUGAGGCCCGAAGGCCAGGGGAGCAAACGGG